Molecule: long non-coding RNA, 259 nt
Organism: Oncorhynchus tshawytscha (Chinook salmon)
Lineage: Eukaryota; Metazoa; Chordata; Actinopteri; Salmoniformes; Salmonidae
Source: Ensembl
GUAGAUGGUAGUAGAGGUAGAUGGUAGUAGAGGUAGAUGGUAGUAGAGGUAGAUGGUAGUAGAGGUAGAUGGUAGUAGAGGUAGAUGGUAGUAGAGGGUAGAUGGUAGUAGAGGGUAGAUGGUAGUAGAGGGUAGAUGGUAGUAGAGGUAGAUGGUAGUAGAGUAGAGGUAGAUGGUAGUAGAGGUAGAUGGUAGUAGAGGUAGAUGGUAGUAGAGGUAGAUGGUAGUAGAGGUAGAUGGUAGUAGAGGUAGAUGGUAU